RNAcentral lists this ribosomal RNA (307 nucleotides) under uncultured bacterium. Its description in RNAcentral is "bacterial SSU rRNA". It matches the Rfam family "Bacterial small subunit ribosomal RNA", at positions 28 to 334 of the family's 1533-position model. The record is from RNAcentral.
GACGAACGCUGGCGGCGUGCUUAACACAUGCAAGUCGAACGGAAAGGCCCUGCUUUUGUGGGGUGCUCGAGUGGCGAACGGGUGAGUAACACGUGAGUAACCUGCCCUUGACUUUGGGAUAACUUCAGGAAACUGGGGCUAAUACCGGAUAGGAGCUCCUGCUGCAUGGUGGGGGUUGAAGUUUCGGCGGUUGGGGAGUGGACUCGCGGCUUAUCAGCUUGUUGGUGGGGUAGUGGCUUACCAAGGCUUUGACGGGUAGCCGGCCUGAGAGGGUGACCGGCCACAUUGGGACUGAGAUACGGCCCAG